CUAUUCCAUUGGGCAAUCGCGCGUUUUCUCGCAAGGGAAAAGUGAGGAAAGUCCGGACUCCAUAAGAGCAGGGGCGCCGGGAUAAAAUCCCGGGUAUUUUAGGUGAAAACCUAUGAUGCAGAAAGUGUCACAGAGAAGAAUACUUUCCAUAACAAAGGAUAAAGGUGAAACGGCAGGGUAAGAGCCUACCAUUUACGGAGCAAUUCGUAAGAUUGACAAACCUCGUUCGGAGCAAGACCAAGUAUAGGGAGCUGAAGCAUUGCUUACUUCUCAUCUCCCGGGGUAGGUUGCAAUAAUCUUUACAGUAAUGUAAAAGAUAAGACAAAUGAUUGCACCCGAGCAAUCGGGCACAGAAUCCGGCUUAUAAAUGGAAUAGAGAA
RNAcentral lists this RNase P RNA (380 nucleotides) under Ignavibacteriota bacterium. RNAcentral describes it as "Ignavibacteriae bacterium (activated sludge metagenome) RNase P RNA component class A". It matches the Rfam family "Bacterial RNase P class A". Rfam says of the family: Ribonuclease P (RNase P) is a ubiquitous endoribonuclease, found in archaea, bacteria and eukarya as well as chloroplasts and mitochondria. Its best characterised activity is the generation of mature 5'-ends of tRNAs by cleaving the 5'-leader elements of precursor-tRNAs. The record is from RNAcentral. Lineage: Bacteria; Pseudomonadati; Ignavibacteriota.